This 65-nucleotide transfer RNA is filed under the name Blepharipoda liberata. Its description in RNAcentral is "tRNA-Lys". Lineage: Eukaryota; Metazoa; Arthropoda; Malacostraca; Decapoda; Blepharipodidae. The record is from RNAcentral.
CACCCGAUGACUGAAUAUAAGUGCUGGUCUUUUAAACCUGUUAUAGUAGAUACUACUUCUGGUGA